UGGGGAAUAUUGGACAAUGGGCGAAAGCCUGAUCCAGCCAUGCCGCGUGUGUGAAGAAGGUCUUCGGAUUGUAAAGCACUUUAAGUUGGGAGGAAGGGCAUUAACCUAAUACGUUAGUGUUUUGACGUUACCGACAGAAUAAGCACCGGCUAACUCUGUGCCAGCAGCCGCGGUAAUACAGAGGGUACAAGCGUUAAUCGGAAUUACUGGGCGUAAAGCGCGCGUAGGUGGUUUGUUAAGUUGGAUGUGAAAUCCCCGGGCUCAACCUGGGAACUGCAUUCAAAACUGACUGACUAGAGUAUGGUAGAGGGUGGUGGAAUUUCCUGUGUAGCGGUGAAAUGCGUAGAUAUAGGAAGGAACACCAGUGGCGAAGGCGACCACCUGGACUAAUACUGACACUGAGGUGCGAAAGCGUGGGGAGCAAACA
This 427-nucleotide ribosomal RNA is filed under the name uncultured bacterium. RNAcentral describes it as "partial 16S ribosomal RNA". It matches the Rfam family "Bacterial small subunit ribosomal RNA", at positions 355 to 774 of the family's 1533-position model. The record is from RNAcentral.